RNAcentral lists this ribosomal RNA (159 nucleotides) under Pseudocydonia sinensis. Its description in RNAcentral is "Chaenomeles sinensis 5.8S ribosomal RNA". It matches the Rfam family "5.8S ribosomal RNA". Rfam says of the family: 5.8S ribosomal RNA (5.8S rRNA) is a component of the large subunit of the eukaryotic ribosome. It is transcribed by RNA polymerase I as part of the 45S precursor that also contains 18S and 28S rRNA. RNAcentral also lists the same sequence under 57 other names. Lineage: Eukaryota; Viridiplantae; Streptophyta; Magnoliopsida; Rosales; Rosaceae. The record is from RNAcentral.
GACUCUCGGCAACGGAUAUCUCGGCUCUCGCAUCGAUGAAGAACGUAGCGAAAUGCGAUACUUGGUGUGAAUUGCAGAAUCCCGUGAACCAUCGAGUCUUUGAACGCAAGUUGCGCCCGAAGCCGUCAGGCCGAGGGCACGCCUGCCUGGGCGUCACAC